RNAcentral lists this long non-coding RNA (1011 nucleotides) under Coturnix japonica (Japanese quail). Its description in RNAcentral is "lncRNA (ENSCJPG00005010267.1)". The record is from RNAcentral. Lineage: Eukaryota; Metazoa; Chordata; Aves; Galliformes; Phasianidae.
CGGCACAACGCGGCCCAGCCCGCCAACCCCCGCCCCCCCCACGGCCCGGCCCGAUCGCAGACAUCGCCCCCGCCCCCACCUCGCCCUAUUCCUCCACGGUGCUCUCCCGCCCCCCCCCCCCCCCGCGGGUUGUCAUUGGCCCGUCGGCCCGUCGCUCACGCGGCCCCUGGCCCGGGAUUGGCUGCUCCGCCGCCUCCCGCUCUCAGCCCCACGCCGCGCGGGGGAGGGGCGGCCGGUAGGGCUCGGCGGUGCGGCCGGUCUGCGCGCCCCUCCCCCGCGGCAGCGCCGUGUGUGCGCUCCGCCCCGCCCCGCCCCGCUCUGCUCCGUCCCGCCCCGCUCUGCUCCGUCCCGCUCCGCCGCCUCCCCCGGCCCCGGCCCCGCUCUGGCCCCGCCCCCGCCGUGACACCCCCCGGGCUGGGCGGCGGUGCGCGGCGCCGGCAGCCGCAGGGGCGCGGCGAGGCGGCCUCGGUCUCGUGCGCUUCUCCGUCGCGUCCUACCGCCACCCCCGGGCCAUCCCCAAGGCUUCGCCGCCGCCGCCGCCGCCGGGGAGGGGCGGGAGGCCGGAACGGAGGAGAAGGGGGAAGCGCCAGAGAGGAGGCGGGGAGAGAGGGCGGCGGCGGGCGGGCAGGUGAGGCGGGCGGCACUGCGCCCUACGGGGGGGAGGAGGGCGGCGGGGCGGCCCGGGCUGAGGCGGUGGGCGGGGGCCGCGGGAACGGAGCGGAGCGGGGGCUCCGUGCUGCAGGGCGGGGCUGUGUGCACCGGGGCUGCCCUCGGGCACAGCGCGGCGCCGGGAGGAGCCCUGCACCCGCACACACACACACAUACACACAGACACAGACACACAUAUACACAUACAGACACACACACAGACACACACGCGCGCGCACACGGCGCUGCAGCCGCCGCCCCCGUCUCGUCGAAAGCUGUUGGUUUUUUUUCUCUCCCUCCCUCCCUCCCUCCUUCCCUCUCUUCUCUCCCCGUUCAGCGGUCGGAACGCCCGAUUGGAUUUAA